This 76-nucleotide transfer RNA is filed under the name uncultured Thiotrichales bacterium. RNAcentral's name for it is "tRNA-Ile". It matches the Rfam family "tRNA". From Rfam's summary of the family: Transfer RNA (tRNA) molecules are approximately 80 nucleotides in length. The record is from RNAcentral. Lineage: Bacteria; Pseudomonadati; Pseudomonadota; Gammaproteobacteria; Thiotrichales.
GGUCUGUAGCUCAGUCGGUUAGAGCGCACCCCUGAUAAGGGUGAGGUCGGAAGCUCAACUCUUCCCAGACCCACCA